RNAcentral lists this ribosomal RNA (379 nucleotides) under uncultured bacterium. Its description in RNAcentral is "bacterial SSU rRNA". It matches the Rfam family "Bacterial small subunit ribosomal RNA", at positions 114 to 507 of the family's 1533-position model. The record is from RNAcentral.
CGCGUGAAGAACCUGCCUUUCAGUGGGGGACAACAGUUGGAAACGACUGCUAAUACCGCAUAAUGUAUUCGGAUGGCAUCAUCUGGAUACCAAAGCUUUAUGUGCUGAAAGAUGGCUUCGCGUCUGAUUAGCUAGAUGGCGGGGUAACGGCCCACCAUGGCGACGAUCAGUAGCCGGUCUGAGAGGAUGAACGGCCACAUUGGGACUGAGAUACGGCCCAGACUCCUACGGGAGGCAGCAGUGGGGAAUAUUGGGCAAUGGGGGAAACCCUGACCCAGCAACGCCGCGUGAAGGAAGAAGGCCUUCGGGUUGUAAACUUCUUUUACCAGGGACGAACACAAUGACGGUACCUGGAGAAAAAGCAACGGCUAACUACGUG